GCCCAACUGAGCCUCAGGGGUCUGGGGUUCAGGCUUCAAACCUGUAACUGAUUAACGUCAGAGUGGUUCGACUCCACCUGGUGGGC
Lottia gigantea (owl limpet) is the source of this 86-nucleotide transfer RNA. It matches the Rfam family "Selenocysteine transfer RNA". The record is from Rfam. Lineage: Eukaryota; Metazoa; Mollusca; Gastropoda; Lottiidae.